GAAGUUUUGACCUCUGAUUUUGAAGGUUGUUAUUGAGUUGGAUGAUAAGAAUGAGAAAGCUUGGUUUAGAAACGGACAAGCUUGCAUGAAACUGAAGGAGAUAGACAACGCUUUGGAAAGCUUUAAGAAGGUUUCUACACUAAGCAACGGAACGAACAAGGAAGCUGAGAAACUAUUGAAGGAAUGUCAGCUACAGCUGGAAGAUCAACGAUUGAAGGAGAAGAAGAUUUAUCAGGAUAUGUUCAAACCUAGAAGUUCCUAAUUAGAGACAGUAAACCGAUCAUCUUCAUUCUUCAAGAUGUAUACUCUUUCAGGCUGUUUUUUUUAUCUUUUUGUGUAAACGGAUUUUUUUUAACUUAAAGGGAGUAGUCUCGAAAUUUCAUUCCAGGAUUAAUAAACUUAUGGACAAUUAUUCUCAAUACUUAACAUUGGUUGUGGAAUCUCCCUUAAAGUUGAGUCUUGUUAUUUCAUCCGUUCAUUUGAAACUAAUCUGUGAUCUCGGCAUUGUUUUUUACUGUUUUCUGAAAAAAUGUUAGAAGUCAUUAUUUCUUGAUUAAAACAUUAAGAUAUUAGAUAAACUGGCUGAAGGUAGUUUGAUGAAUGUUUUAACAAAAAUAAGUUCUUCUCAAAUAUUUCAGAA
Long non-coding RNA from Eurytemora carolleeae, 640 nucleotides. RefSeq lists it as uncharacterized. The record is from RefSeq and is a predicted model, not a curated record. NCBI's taxonomy places the organism in Eukaryota, Metazoa, Arthropoda, Copepoda, Calanoida, Temoridae. The transcript is spliced from 3 exons.